Molecule: long non-coding RNA, 1500 nt
Organism: Cyprinus carpio carpio
Lineage: Eukaryota; Metazoa; Chordata; Actinopteri; Cypriniformes; Cyprinidae
Source: Ensembl
UUUAAUAAAAUAUUUAAUAAAAUAUUAUUUUAUUUAAAUUACAUUUUAUUUAAUUUUUUCAUUUUAUUUUACGCUUAAAAUCUAUUUUUAUUUUUUUAUGUAAUUUUAUUUUUAAAUUAAAUUGUAUUUAAUAUUAAUUGUAUUUCUAAAUGACAUUUUAUUAAAUUUGUAUUUUAUUUUAUUUUUUUACAAUUUAUUUAUUUAAUUUAAUUUAAUAUGGUUAAUUUGGAUGGCCAAAUGACACUUUUAAUUUACAAUUUGUGCCAAAAUAGUUUGCAUGGACAUAUGUCAACAACAAAAUUAAUUAGACAAUUAUGUUUAGUACAAUAACAAUACAAUAGUACAAUAGAGACAUUUUUUUUGCAUGUCCUUCUGUUUAUUAUAAUAGUGCUGUUACACACAGAAAAGAUCAUCUUCUUUAUGUCAUACUCGAUACUGAUAUUCUUUUUCUUAUAUAUAUGGACUAUUUGCUUCCCAAUUCUGCUCUUCUUUCAUUAUGUUUUCUUUUAAACAUCAAGGUUACAUUACAGCUAUUGUCAGUCUUUCCAUUCUCAUACACCAAUGCAUGUAAAUCGAGGUCAUCUUUAUUACAGAAUUGUCAGGAUAUUGAAAACAGCAUGUCUAAAAGGGAAAUUUUAAUGGCUAAUUUUAUUUCAAUUGUCCUUGCCUGUCACCUUUUGUACACUGCAUAUAAAUAUCAUGUCACAGCAGUAGAGGAUGUUCAUACUGAGACAAUUCACUAUGGACUUGACACAAUCACAGUACAGAUUAUAUUUUCAUAAUAUCACGCGCUGUGGUCUGAGGCUGUCUUUAGCAUAUAAGACGAUGGAUGACAAGACUCUCAAGUUAUGAGUUGAAAGUGUCAAUCAAAUGAGUACAGGGCAUUGUGGGUAAGGGAGGGGGUAUUUAAAGGAACAAUAGCAAUAUCAUUUAAUUUUUUCUGCUGAAAGGCCGAAAAAAAAAAAUAAAAAAUAAAAAUCUUAUAUGAUAGAAUCUGUGUUAGAAGAUCCAGAUCUAAAAAUGACAUUACUUCAAACCUGGUGGCUGAUGAUAAAUACAUUUUAAUUAUUAAAUGGAGUUAUACAUUCAGAUUGAAGACAGAGCUUUUGUUAAACCACUGGCUACAAAACAAGACACUUUAUGAGCUUUGAAUGGACAAACUGCAGCAGCCAGGAAAUCAAAAUCCAGCGCUGCCACUUCUCUCUGAAGAGUAAGGAAGAUUAUUUUUGUAGAAGACAAGAGUUUUAUUACUGUAAAGAUUUUAUAUAUAUAAAUAUCUAAAAGUUUUAGGUGUGUAAUGUUUUGUUUCUUUAUUUUUUAUCUUUCUUUGACCUCAACUCUGUGCUCUGUGGAAUUGUUUCUGUUUGGUGCAAUCGUAUUUAUUAAAUGAAAUCAGUCCCUGUUAUUGUGUUUUGAUUUUCUUACAGUAUUUGUAAAAACAAUAUGUAAUUUGCUGAAGUAACCUUUAAAUCAUAGAUAAAAAUAAAGUAUCAAUCAAAA